Non-coding RNA from Schistosoma rodhaini, 45 nucleotides. NCBI's taxonomy places the organism in Eukaryota, Metazoa, Platyhelminthes, Trematoda, Strigeidida, Schistosomatidae. The record is from Rfam.
AGCCAGCUGACGAGUUCUGAAUAGGGCGAAGCGCACGCCCUGUAU